AGAGCAUGGUUAAAAAAUGUUUCCAUAAUACUUUAGAACAGCUCAGUGCUUGGUAUAUCUUCAUCAAGCUAAACAUCAGUUAGGAACAGAAAAAAACAUACACUUUUUUCCAUUGGCAGCGGGUUAGAGAAAUAUUCUAAACUCCACAUGUAGUAUUAUUCCUCAGCAUGAGGAAGGGGAUGGUGACACGUGGAGUGAAAAAAAUACCUUAAUGAUUUAAAAAAAAAAAAAAAGCUGAGGUCUUCAAACUUUUCAAUAAGCACGUAGGGAAGUAGCUGAACAGAACUGUAAGGGUAAGCAGGGCAAAGUGUCAGAGUUGAUUUAACUCAUUACAUUUAAGUGGAAAAUAAGGGAUGAAAGUUUAGUUUAAGAAAAAUUAAGGAAAUACCUAGGAAUGAGUUUACAAAGUGCAAUAUUUUCUCUCAAAGCCAUAGGGUUAGCAGGUUGGUAUCCAGCAUCUGUGACUGAUUAGGGACAUUUGAGAUGGCAGGUGGCUUUAGGAAAUGGAAACCUUACAGGGCUUUACAAAUACUUUCUGUAGUUAGGCAAAGUUAUUUGAUUUAUUCUCACUGGUUCUCAUUCUACAGCCUGGUUUAAAAUCUAGCAACUUGUCUUAAUCCAUGUUAAUAUUUUCUUACAGAUGCAGUGUUGUGAAAAUUCUCCAAUCAGAUUCUUGGAAGAUGCCCUGGAGAAUAAUAGAGUUACUAGGUUUACACUACUGAGGGCCGUGUUAAGUACGCUAGGCUCCACUGAGGUUAUGCAGUAUGGAGGUCUGCAGAAGUUUAUGGGACUCCUCUUUUGGUUUGGAUGGGAGCCAAAAACAUAGCUCUGAAGCAGGAGAAAGAAGAAACAUUUGGAAGAAUCAAGACAGGAAAGUAAACCCCAUGGAAAAUGGUUGGAAGUGCUUCACAAAUCAAGCCAAUAUAUAACAACUGGCUCCUUAAAAACUUAUAAUAGUAGGUAAAAUAGAAUUUGCAGCGGAGAGUAGUACAACUAUAUGAUGAUUCAGGGCAGGUGGAGUUAAAAUCUCAAUUAGCUUUCCGAAAUAGCGUUCCUGAGGAAUAGCUCAAGGAGCAAAUAUAGCAGAAGCCUGAACAUAGGUUUGUUAUUGCUAGAGAAGAAAAAUCACUUAUCCAAACCUUUCCAUUAUCUGAUAUUGUAAAACCAGUCCAGCAGCGCUCUCUGAGAUGUUAUAACCUCGGCACUUCUCCAGAUCUGCCACCAGCUAUGGAUUUUGUGUGUGUGUGUGUAUGCGUGUGUUUGUAUGUUCUUCUGCAGAUUUAUUUUAAAUCUCCCUUCCUGAAGCUGUUCGCUGUCCUGAUUUAUAGGAUUUUGCUAAGCAUCACGUAGUCUUUUCUGUUCUUUACUAAGUAUGUUUUACUACUUUGUAUUUUUUUCACAAAGAAAUAGAUUUUAUUGGACAGGGGUUCAUACAUAGCUGCAUAAUGUUUGUCUUAUGGAUUUUGUAUUAAACCACUUUAACACUUUUGUAGACCGGAGGAACUCUGCAAAUACUGUGGGUGAAAUGCCCUGAGCUUCAUCUUGCAUGCUUUGAACUGAGCACGGUGAACUUUGCCUAGUUACCAAGCUGACACAUGAACGAGCCAUUUGCAAUUCACAGCGAAGGAGAGAGAGAGAGAGAGAGAGAGAGAGGGUGGGCCUGAUCCUGCUCUUAGCAAAGCCAAAGGAAAUCCUGCUGCUGACUGCAGCAAGACCAGCAGCAAAAUCAUAAUGAGUAUUUAAGAUGAUAUUUCAGAAGUCCAGUAAUGUGACAAUCAUGAUGAAGUGGUGGCUUUUCCAGAGGCAGUGUCUGAAUUAAUAGGGUCUUUCCAGCUAGCUCCUCUUGAAGCGGGUUGGAAGAAGUAAAAUAAAUAAAUAAAAAGUCUCUAGGAUACUUUCCUG
RNAcentral lists this long non-coding RNA (1902 nucleotides) under Struthio camelus australis. Its description in RNAcentral is "lncRNA (ENSSCUG00000013330.1)". The record is from RNAcentral. Lineage: Eukaryota; Metazoa; Chordata; Aves; Struthioniformes; Struthionidae.